RNAcentral lists this ribosomal RNA (455 nucleotides) under uncultured Verrucomicrobiota bacterium. RNAcentral's name for it is "bacterial SSU rRNA". It matches the Rfam family "Bacterial small subunit ribosomal RNA", at positions 38 to 473 of the family's 1533-position model. The record is from RNAcentral. Lineage: Bacteria; Pseudomonadati; Verrucomicrobiota.
GGCGGCGUGGAUAAGACAUGCAAGUCGAACGGGGUAUUAUUUGUAGCAAUACACGUAAUGCCUAGUGGCGUAAGGGUGCGUAACACGUGGGCAAUCUGCCGAGAAGUGGGGGAUAGCUCGCCGAAAGGCGAAUUAAUACCGCAUGUGGUUAGAGAGGACAUCCUCUCGAUACCAAAGCCGGGGCAACCUGGCGCUUCUUGAUGAGCCCGCGGCCUAUCAGCUUGUUGGCGGGGUAACGGCCCACCAAGGCUAUGACGGGUAGCUGGUCUGAGAGGACGACCAGCCACACUGGAACUGAGACACGGUCCAGACACCUACGGGUGGCAGCAGUCGAGAAUUUUUCUCAAUGGGGGAAACCCUGAAGGANCGACGCCGCGUGGAGGAUGAANGUCUUCGGACUGUAAACUCCUGUCAUUUGGGAACAAGUUGCAUCGGUUAACUGCCGGUGCAUUGAU